AAGCGAGGCGGUGACGUGGAGCAAACCUCAGAAAGCCAAUCUCAGUUCGGAUUGUAGGCUGCAACUCGCCUACAUGAAGUUGGAAUCGCUAGUAAUCGCGAAUCAGAAUGUCGCGGUGAAUACGUUCCCGGGUCUUGUACACACCGCCCGUCACACCACGAGAGUUUACAACACCCGAAGUCAGUGGCCUAACCGCAAGGAGGGAGCUGCCUAAGGUGGGGUAGAUGAUUGGGGUGAAGUCGUAACAAGGUAAC
RNAcentral lists this ribosomal RNA (254 nucleotides) under uncultured bacterium. RNAcentral's name for it is "partial 16S ribosomal RNA". It matches the Rfam family "Bacterial small subunit ribosomal RNA", at positions 1247 to 1500 of the family's 1533-position model. The record is from RNAcentral.